AUGCCAGUCACCUGGGGAUUUCAUUAAAAUGAAGAUUCUGACUCAAGUUUCUAAGAGACAGGACCAGAGAUUGUGCAUUUCUAACAAGUUCCCUGGGCUCAUUC
Molecule: microRNA precursor, 104 nt
Filed under: Marmota monax (woodchuck)
Lineage: Eukaryota; Metazoa; Chordata; Mammalia; Rodentia; Sciuridae
Source: RNAcentral